This 1174-nucleotide ribosomal RNA is filed under the name Morganella morganii. Its description in RNAcentral is "bacterial SSU rRNA". It matches the Rfam family "Bacterial small subunit ribosomal RNA", at positions 48 to 1211 of the family's 1533-position model. The record is from RNAcentral. Lineage: Bacteria; Pseudomonadati; Pseudomonadota; Gammaproteobacteria; Enterobacterales; Morganellaceae.
GGGGGGUAUGGAGUCGGGCGGUAACAGGGAGAAGCUUGCUUCUCUGCUGACGAGCGGCGGACGGGUGAGUAAUGUAUGGGGAUCUGCCUGAUGGCGGGGGAUAACUACUGGAAACGGUAGCUAAUACCGCAUAAUGUCUACGGACCAAAGCGGGGGACCUCCGGGCCUCGCGCCAUCAGAUGAACCCAUAUGGGAUUAGCUUGUAGGUGAGGUAACGGCUCACCUAGGCGACGAUCCCUAGCUGGUCUGAGAGGAUGAUCAGCCACACUGGGACUGAGACACGGCCCAGACUCCUACGGGAGGCAGCAGUGGGGAAUAUUGCACAAUGGGCGCAAGCCUGAUGCAGCCAUGCCGCGUGUAUGAAGAAGGCCUUCGGGUUGUAAAGUACUUUCAGUCGGGAGGAAGGUGGUAAGGUUAAUAACCUUAUCAAUUGACGUUACCGACAGAAGAAGCACCGGCUAACUCCGUGCCAGCAGCCGCGGUAAUACGGAGGGUGCAAGCGUUAAUCGGAAUUACUGGGCGUAAAGCGCACGCAGGCGGUUGAUUGAGUCAGAUGUGAAAUCCCCGGGCUUAACCCGGGAAUUGCAUCUGAUACUGGUCAGCUAGAGUCUUGUAGAGGGGGGUAGAAUUCCAUGUGUAGCGGUGAAAUGCGUAGAGAUGUGGAGGAAUACCGGUGGCGAAGGCGGCCCCCUGGACAAAGACUGACGCUCAGGUGCGAAAGCGUGGGGAGCAGACAGGAUUAGAUACCCUGGUAGUCCACGCUGUAAACGAUGUCGACUUGGAGGUUGUGCCCUUGAGGCGUGGCUUCCGGAGCUAACGCGUUAAGUCGACCGCCUGGGGAGUACGGCCGCAAGGUUAAAACUCAAAUGAAUUGACGGGGGCCCGCACAAGCGGUGGAGCAUGUGGUUUAAUUCGAUGCAACGCGGAGAACCUUACCUACUCUUGACAUCCAGAGAACUUGGCAGAGAUGCUUUGGUGCCUUCGGGAACUCUGAGACAGGUGCUGCAUGGCUGUCGUCAGCUCGUGUUGGGAAAUGUUGGGUUAAGUCCCGCAACGAGCGCAACCCUUAUCCUUUGUUGCCAGCGCGUAAUGGCGGGAACUCAAAGGAGACUGCCGGUGAUAAACCGGAAGAAAGGUGGGGAUGACGUCCAGUCAUCAUGGCCCUUACCAAUAG